Molecule: long non-coding RNA, 128 nt
Organism: Coregonus clupeaformis (lake whitefish)
Lineage: Eukaryota; Metazoa; Chordata; Actinopteri; Salmoniformes; Salmonidae
Exons: 3
Source: RefSeq, a predicted model, not a curated record
GGGAGUGGAAAAGUUAAUAAGAAGGAGGUUCAUCUACCUGAGGACAAAGACAGAUCUAUUGUCUGGGAUCCAACUCUGCACAGAUGGGUUGACAAAACUGAGCCCAAGGCUGAGAACAAGCUUGUACC